CUGCUGCCUCCCGUAGGAGUUUGGGCCGUGUCUCAGUCCCAAUGUGGCCGAUCAACCUCUCAGUUCGGCUACGCAUCAUUGCCUUGGUAAGCCUUUACCCCACCAACUAGCUAAUGCGCCGCGGGCCCAUCCAAAAGCGGUAGCAUAGCCACCUUUUACAUAGCUACCAUGCGGUAACUAUGGUUAUGCGGUAUUAGCACCUGUUUCCAAGUGUUAUCCCCCUCUUUUGGGCAGGUUGCCCACGUGUUACUCACCCGUUCG
This 261-nucleotide ribosomal RNA is filed under the name uncultured bacterium. Its description in RNAcentral is "partial 16S ribosomal RNA". The record is from RNAcentral.